GACGAACGCUGGCGGCGUGCCUAAUACAUGCAAGUCGAGCGGGCCUCCGGAGGUGCUUGCACCUCCGGAAGGCCAGCGGCGGACGGGUGAGUAACACGUGGGCAACCUGCCUUUGAGGCCGGGAUAACACCGGGAAACCGGUGCUAAUACCGGAUACGUCCUCUUUCGCGCCUGCGCGAGGGGAGAAAGACGGUCUUUAAGGCCGUCGCUCAAAGAGGGGCCCGCGGCGCAUUAGCGGGUUGGUGGGGUAAGGGCCUACCAAGGCGACGAUGCGUUGCCGACCUGAGAGGGUGAUCGGCCACACUGGGACUGAGACACGGCCCAGACUCCUGCGGGAGGCAGCAGUAGGGAAUCAUCCGCAAUGGGCGAAAGCCUGACGGUGCAACGCCGCGUGAGUGAGGAAGGUUUUCGGAUCGUAAAGCUCUGUUGUGAGGGAAGAACAGCUUCCGGAGGAAAUGCCGGAGGUUUGCCGGUACCUCACCAGAAAGCCCCGGCUAACUACGUGCCAGCCGCCGCUGUAA
RNAcentral lists this ribosomal RNA (521 nucleotides) under uncultured bacterium. Its description in RNAcentral is "partial 16S ribosomal RNA". It matches the Rfam family "Bacterial small subunit ribosomal RNA", at positions 28 to 523 of the family's 1533-position model. The record is from RNAcentral.